UUCAGAGAAGGCAGGAUUAUCUAUCACCAAGAGCUGAAGAUUCAAGAGUGUAAAAGAAUGUGCGUGGAGUCCCUAAGGAUUGAGCAGAAGGAUUCCAGCCCUCUAAAAAUGGAUUGCCCAGGCACCCUCUCUUCUGGCUUUCUGCUCCAAGACUACAACCAGAGACUGCAGUUGUGCGGAGAGGCUUCGCAACUGUAAGGUAAUGCCUCUCCCCGACUAGGCGGUAAGCUCCCGAAGAACAGGAAUCAUGCCUACUGAUUCUAUUCGAGUGUUCGUCGAGCAUCUUUUGUGUACACAGCAGUGUACUGUACGCUUGGGAAAGUACAACAGAGUGAACGGCCACAAUCUCUGCCUUCAAGGAGCUUACACUUUAGCAAGGGAAACAGACACUAAGUGCAAAGAGGGGGUAUCAAUAAGUUUCUAAAAGGGCCUUGGUAAAAACUAUGGAGAGAAAAACAACAACUCAGUGACACAUCGGUGGGGCUCUGACAGUUAAGGGCUCUUAGUGCUUAAUUAAUGUAUGCAUCUACUAAAGCCACCUAAAAGGCUACCUGCAGCUUUACCAACCAGUAUGUGGUAAUAAAGCUAAAUUAGAAUUGUUUCA
Long non-coding RNA from Ornithorhynchus anatinus (platypus), 604 nucleotides. RefSeq lists it as uncharacterized. NCBI's taxonomy places the organism in Eukaryota, Metazoa, Chordata, Mammalia, Monotremata, Ornithorhynchidae. The record is from RefSeq and is a predicted model, not a curated record. The transcript has 3 exons.